UGGGGAAUCUUGCACAAUGGGGGAAACCCUGAUGCAGCGACGCCGCGUGAACGAUGAAGCCCUUCGGGGUGUAAAGUUCUUUCGACGGGGACGAUAAUGACGGUACCCGGAGAAGAAGCUGCGGCUAACUACGUGCCAGCAGCCGCGGUAAUACGUAGGCAGCAAGCGUUGUUCGGAAUUACUGGGCGUAAAGAGUGCGUAGGUGGUUGGCCAAGUUUGGUGUGAAAUCUCCCGGCUUAACUGGGAGGGUGCGCCGAAAACUGGUUGACUAGAGUGUGGGAGAGGGAGGUGGAAUUCCGCGUGUAGCAGUGAAAUGCGUAGAGAUGCGGAGGAACACCGAUGGCGAAGGCAGCCUCCUGGGAUGACACUGACGCUCAUGCACGAAAGCGUGGGGAGCAAACA
RNAcentral lists this ribosomal RNA (402 nucleotides) under uncultured bacterium. RNAcentral's name for it is "bacterial SSU rRNA". It matches the Rfam family "Bacterial small subunit ribosomal RNA", at positions 355 to 774 of the family's 1533-position model. The record is from RNAcentral.